Molecule: long non-coding RNA, 263 nt
Filed under: Gossypium barbadense (sea-island cotton)
Lineage: Eukaryota; Viridiplantae; Streptophyta; Magnoliopsida; Malvales; Malvaceae
Description: long non-coding RNA (GBAR_LNC017176)
Source: RNAcentral
UUUUACUCCCAAAAACUCUCAAAACCUUUUAUUUUCCCUCAAAAUUUUUACUCCCUCCCACUUUUCCCCUAAAACUUUUAUUCCCUUCCCAUCUCACCUCCCAUCUAUCCCAAACCCUCCCCCCUCUAAUUUUUUUUAAUAUUUUCCCUCCAAAAUUUUACUCCCCCUAUUUACUUUCCCUCAAACUUUUAUUCCCCAAAACUUUUUAUUUUUCCCCUAAACUUUUACUUCUCACCCUUUACUCUCAAAUAAAAAAUCAAAAU